ACUCUCUCGCUCGGAUGGUUCAUUGCUGUCUUUUGAUUGGUGCCCAAACGUCCCCUGGAGAAUUGUUGCGUCCCUGGGGGUGCUAAGGAGAGGACCAUGUGCCAGUGCCUCCUCAGAAGGGGGGAGCAGCAUUAUUUCUUGACAUGAUAUCCAUUUCUUCAGGCCUCAGUUUAGAGAAGCUUAAAUGUCCUUCAGAGGAACUUCCAGCUGUGGACACUCACCUCAUCACCUCCCAGCCUAUUUAAGGAGAUCCAGCUCCAUUCCUCCAUUCAUCACCAGUUCGUUCGUAGCCCCCUAUGGACUAAUUACCACGAGUGUCCUGGAAUUCUAGCCUCCAGCCACGCCACGGCUCCAACCGAGUCAAGAUCCCCAAGCCACGCCACAACUGCCACGCCAGUAUCAUCUCCCCAUCGGUCAAUCUCCAAUAAACUCACCCUUGGAUCCUCGUCCAGAAAAAUAAAUUCCUUUAUUCGCCA
Oryzias latipes (Japanese medaka) is the source of this 476-nucleotide long non-coding RNA. RefSeq lists it as uncharacterized. NCBI's taxonomy places the organism in Eukaryota, Metazoa, Chordata, Actinopteri, Beloniformes, Adrianichthyidae. The record is from RefSeq and is a predicted model, not a curated record.